ACAUUUCGGGCUGGUAUUUAUACCGGAAACAGCACAGAGCAGCGUUAAACUGCGACGGACCAGGUUAUCUCACCUAUAUAUUACAGCCAUGGUCUGACUGCUAAUAAAAGCUAGCGUCUACGUGGUGCGGAAGAUCCGGGCUUCAGUCUCUGCAGGAGAGCAACUGGAGAAGCCCAUCGUCACACCAUGUAGUGCUAUCGCUGAAAUGAGAGCGGGGCAUGAGCCGCGUGGAAGCGCCGCUGCUGCACUGAUCCCAGGACCUGAAGAAGGUGUCGGCGGAGCGGCAGGCUCCGGAUCUUCUUUGGAGACCGCCGUGCAGAAAUGUGGCUCCUGACGUUAAAGAACACGCUGGACACUUGGACAGCAGGCACUGCAAUGGGAAAAUAUCAUUUUCUUCUUUGUAUAUUUGCUUUAGAGGACAAUACUACUUAUCCAGGAACAUUACAAGUAUGUGCAGAAUCAUUUAGAUGCAAUGGUCAACAUUAAUGUUGUCCAAACUCAAAUAGUGCAAACAAACCAUUGUGUAAUACAUAUACCAUGCAUUGUUUUACUGCUUUCCAGAGUCCAUGCGGUCCUCAGUGGCCAACGUCCAGCUCUUAAUCACACACGUUCAUGUCUCUUUCACAGCCGACAUGCUGACUUACUAUAUGAAGAGCUACACACAACACAACAGCCACCUGGACGUAACGGAGACGUUCAUGGUAUUAAAUGUAUGUGGUCAGUCAACAUGUUCUCUGUGAAAGGCCUGUGUUGAUGUAUUGCAGUGUUUGAAGGCCGACUCGCCAACCUCUCUCCAGGGGCCGAGCACGCCUGAUGUUUCUGCUGCUGUAUCAAUAAAACGUGUAAAAGGGUGGAGCCACCAUUAAUCGUACAAACUACACCUGUGCCAUUCCUGCGCCGGCAUGUCACAUGAUCUUCUGUAAAAGGUCUACUUAUUAAGCACAAAAGCAAAUAAUAUAAAGGGGUGGAUUCAGAUAA
This is a long non-coding RNA of Cyclopterus lumpus (lumpfish), 978 nucleotides long. RefSeq lists it as uncharacterized. The record is from RefSeq and is a predicted model, not a curated record. The transcript has 3 exons. NCBI's taxonomy places the organism in Eukaryota, Metazoa, Chordata, Actinopteri, Perciformes, Cyclopteridae.